UACAGAGGGUGCAAGCGUUAAUCGGAAUUACUGGGCGUAAAGCGUGCGUAGUCGGUUAUCUAAGUCGGGUGUGAAAUCCCCGGGCUCAACCUGGGAAUUGCAUUCGAUACUGGAUAGCUAGAGUUCGGCAGAGGGAAGUGGAAUUUCAGGUGUAGCGGUGAAAUGCGUAGAUAUCUGAAGGAACAUCAGUGGCGAAAGCGGCUCUCUGGUACGUGACUGACGCUGAGACGCGAAAGCGUGGGGAGCAAACAGG
This 253-nucleotide ribosomal RNA is filed under the name uncultured bacterium. Its description in RNAcentral is "partial 16S ribosomal RNA". It matches the Rfam family "Bacterial small subunit ribosomal RNA", at positions 524 to 776 of the family's 1533-position model. The record is from RNAcentral.